Caenorhabditis elegans is the source of this 126-nucleotide non-coding RNA. NCBI's taxonomy places the organism in Eukaryota, Metazoa, Nematoda, Chromadorea, Rhabditida, Rhabditidae. The record is from Ensembl.
UUUUCUAGUUGUCGCAUCGUUUCGUCAAUUUCUAAUUGAAUUUGGAAGAAGGAGCCGGCAGUUUCUUCCGAGACGUUGCUCUUGCAUGUCAAGUGAAAACCAAUGUCAGGCUCAAUUUCCCGCAUC